RNAcentral lists this long non-coding RNA (2406 nucleotides) under Zea mays. RNAcentral describes it as "long non-coding RNA (ZMAY_LNC005282)". Lineage: Eukaryota; Viridiplantae; Streptophyta; Magnoliopsida; Poales; Poaceae. The record is from RNAcentral.
UUAUCUCAAUCUGCCACGUCCAAGAUCUCUCCAUCCUUCCAGGUUCCAGGCUUCCAGCACAUAUCGGCUUCCUGAAAAAGGGGUCACGUACGCUUCUCCUAAUUCAAGCUACCUGAUCCUUAUCCCAUGCCAUCAGGCUGCAAGCUCCUUCACGCCACCUCACAUUCCACGCACAGGUUUACUUCUUGCUCUUCACACCAUGCGGCUUCCAAGACUCCGCUCAUCACAGCGCUUGGAGCUUGCCGGUUGCCGAGAUGAACCCUGUGCUUAGUCCAUCAGCACCCUAGCCUCCCAUUCACAGUUCCUCCCUGACCUCCCUUACGCUAUUGCAGCAGCAGCACUUGACUCCAGUGCCCUCAACACCCAGCCAUAGUCUACCUCUGCGCUCGUCACGAAGCCGCUUGCCCUACAGUCCUGUCAUGUCACCGUCCUACAAGCACUGAGCUCCGUCCAUCUCGUUGAACGCCAUCGUCCCCUUCUUCACUGUAGGCUCGACAUCUGCCUUCUGGUGCACACCGACGCUGCGCUCUGGCCCUCGCCCUCCAUCGCGCGCUCGGACACUUUGUCACCUCCAGACUUCGCCGUCACUGAGCUUCUCCCUCGCUCUCAGAUCGAGGUCGCCCGACCCCAGCGCGCUCGCCCUGGUGCCCAGCACCUCUUCAAUCCCGAUGCAUCCCCAACUGAACUCGUCGGACUCGCCUUGGUUUGGACUUCGCCAAGUUGGUGAGCAGCCGUGAACUGCACCAUGCUCAGGCCCUGCCCGCUUCCUUUCCAUCUGGGUUGAUCCUACUUCGUCAGAACAGCAGCAGCGCCAGCGUCCUCUCCUAGCUUGUGUUCGUGAAUUUUCUCGUCGAACCGGCAUCGUAUCAUCAUCCGGUAGUGCGGCGCUCUUAAUUCAUAUUUUGGCGAUUUAUAUAUUUAUAUGUUGUAGGUGUAUUCUAGAUAUAUUAUUUGUUACCUUCUUUAUGAAAUGCAUUUCCAUACCAUAGCAAGCAUUAAUCUACAUGUAAUUGAUUUGUAGAACACGUAGAAGAAGUGAUGUUUGAAGAAGGAGUUCACUUCAGUGCAUGUUGAUCCAGCGGUGGAGUUUCAUCUAACUACUUACCAGAGUAGAAUAAGGUUUUGAAUCUUCUCUGCAACAAGGCAAGCCCCGGUGCAUUUGCCACCUCCCUUGUGUUUACAAAAUUUUAUCACUUAUAUGCUGCAUUAGGUGAUAGGAGUUGAUUGAUUAAACAAUUGAUGCAUUACCAUCCUUGAAAGAUUGAUUACCAUACCUUAUCACCUGUUUUAUAAAAGCUAGAGAUGCUUAGUCAUGCUGAUAGACUAAGAAAAAUGUUUUUCAUCUAUGACUCAUGUUUUUACAAAAAGAAAAUGGGCUUGGGAUAAUGAAGGCAUCAAGACGUUGAUAAAUUCAUUAUCCAGGCAUGGCCCCUCUGUCAGGCGCCAAAAUUUUAAAAUAGUUUAAAAUGGGACCAGACGCUGAGCAGGAAAGGUCGCCCGUCUGUGUCGAUUAAGGACCGUACCGAUUGUUGGCCUGAUGAUCUAGGACCUUUUAACUGGCCACAUACCUCGUCAUGGGUAAGCCUGAACCCGGCUAUUCCAUACGUGAAAAGACAACCGCGCACUGGGCGUGGGAGAUGGUGGGAGUAGCUCUUACCCUCCUGGCAAGAGGCUGGAUGGUAGGGUAAUGUGCUCCCGGGUAGCGCGGACCAGUUCAUGUGGUGGAGGAUCCGUGGGAAUGGUUGACAUAUGCAAGGGUUAAGUGCUACAUAUGUCGUGUGGUUAGAGAUCCCCAGCUGGGUAUUAAUCGAUUCGGAUCGCCGUUACUUCUCGGAUAUGAAGACUGGAUCGCUGCCCUUCAUCGUAGAUAACAAGUGAAACAAAAAUUGGAUUUUAAAAGCAACCUAGUGUAGGUCAAGUGAAUGAUCUAGAUUAGAAAAAUGCUAGAUUCAGGCUAGAAGAUUCAGGUAAUAAACUAACUUGUGAAAUAAAACUUGGCUUAAGGACCCACUUCUAGUAAGCUUUUCUGCAAAAUGAGUCCUUGAACUUUGAUGAGCUUUACCUUGAUUCCCAAAAGCCAGCAUACCCUUGAAAGUCUUUUCUUUAGUCGGGUAAGUCUUGCUGAGUAAUUGCGUACUCAGGGUUUUAUCCCUUGUUGUUUUUGUAGGAGAAGUUUUAUUCCCUUAUCCUUGGGUUAGUUACUUCAUGUGGAGGACUUGAAGCUUAGAAGGUUUUUAUAUUUCUCUUAUGGAAAGGCUUCACCCUUCCAAUUAUUGUAAUAAGUUAUGUCCUUUGAGUACUAUCAAGACUUGUAAUAAAUACAUCUCUUUCUACCAUGUAAAACUUGAGUUCUGGAAUGUAAAGUGUACUUUGUAAAAGUCUUCCGCUCUAUCUCCAAUGUGUGUG